AAUAUUUUGAACCGCAUGGUUCAAAAGUGAAAGACGGUCUUGCUGUCACUUAUAGAUGGAUCCGCGCUGCAUUAGCUAGUUGGUAAGGUAACGGCUUACCAAGGCAACGAUGCAUACCCGACCUGAGAGGGUGAUCGGCCACACUGGAACUGAGACACGUUCCACACUCCUACGGGAGGCAGCAGUAGGGAAUCUUCCGCAAUGGGCGAAAGCCUGACGGAGCAACGCCGCGUGAGUGAUGAAGGUCUUCGGAUCGUAAAACUCUGUUAUUAGGGAAGAACAUAUGUGUAAGUAACUGUGCACAUCUUGACGGUACCUAAUCAGAAAGCCACGGCUAACUACGUGCCAGCAGCCGCGGUAAUACGUAGGUGGCAAGCGUUAUCCGGAAUUAUUGGGCGUAAAGCGCGCGUAGGCGGUUUUUUAAGUCUGAUGUGAAAGCCCACGGCUCAACCGUGGAGGGUCAUUGGAAACUGGAAAACUUGAGUGCAGAAGAGGAAAGUGGAAUUCCAUGUGUAGCGGUGAAAUGCGCAGAGAUAUGGAGGAACACCAGUGGCGAAGGCGACUUUCUGGUCUGUAACUGACGCUGAUGUGCGAAAGCGUGGGGAUCAAACAGGAUUAGAUACCCUGGUAGUCCACGCCGUAAACGAUGAGUGCUAAGUGUUAGGGGGUUUCCGCCCCUUAGUGCUGCAGCUAACGCAUUAAGCACUCCGCCUGGGGAGUACGACCGCAAGGUUGAAACUCAAAGGAAUUGACGGGGACCCGCACAAGCGGUGGAGCAUGUGGUUUAAUUCGAAGCAACGCGAAGAACCUUACCAAAUCUUGACAUCCUUUGACAACUCUAGAGAUAGAGCCUUCCCCUUCGGGGGACAAAGUGACAGGUGGUGCAUGGUUGUCGUCAGCUCGUGUCGUGAGAAUGUUGGGUUAAGUCCCGCAACGAGCGCAACCCUUAAGCUUAGUUGCCAUCAUUAAGUUGGGCACUCUAAGUUGACUGCCGGUGACAAACCGGAGGAAGGUGGGGAUGACGUCAAAUCAUCAUGCCCCUUAUGAUUUGGGCUACACACGUGCUACAAUGGACAAUACAAAGGGCAGCGAAACCGCGAGGUCAAGCAAAUCCCAUAAAGUUGUUCUCAGUUCGGAUUGUAGUCUGCAACUCGACUACAUGAAGCUGGAAUCGCUAGUAAUCGUAGAUCAGCAUGCUACGGUGAAUACGUUCCCGGGUCUUGUACACACCGCCCGUCACACCACGAGAGUUUGUAACACCCGAAGCCGGUGGAGUAACCUUUUAGGAGCUAGCCGUCGA
This 1300-nucleotide ribosomal RNA is filed under the name Staphylococcus aureus. RNAcentral's name for it is "bacterial SSU rRNA". It matches the Rfam family "Bacterial small subunit ribosomal RNA", at positions 173 to 1459 of the family's 1533-position model. Lineage: Bacteria; Bacillati; Bacillota; Bacilli; Caryophanales; Staphylococcaceae. The record is from RNAcentral.